RNAcentral lists this long non-coding RNA (377 nucleotides) under Ananas comosus (pineapple). Its description in RNAcentral is "long non-coding RNA (ACOM_LNC030925)". The record is from RNAcentral. Lineage: Eukaryota; Viridiplantae; Streptophyta; Magnoliopsida; Poales; Bromeliaceae.
AUAAAACUAGUUCAAUUGGUAAUUAAUAACUAAUAAUAAAAUUAUUAAAUUUGAUAAAAUUUUCUUACGUAACUAAUUAUUAAAACUCAGAUAAAAAAAAGAUAAAAAUGUGCAGAACUUACUUGAAAUAUAGACCAUUUUGAAUCAGCUUCCGACGUUCCAAAUUUUGAUUUUAAAUAUAACCUAAGUACUUAUUUUAGUGAAACUUUAGUUACCAGAAUUAUAUGAAGUAUAUGUAAAGAUAAACAACGCACUCAAAUUUUAAAACGAAAAAUUGUUGACUGAUUCAAAUUAAUCAAACAAAUUCAAAGGUCGGAUAGUAAAAUUAAAAUUUUGUAUAGUUGGGUAGCAGAAUCAAAAUAGUUCAAAUAAAUUUU